GAUGAAGAACGUAGCGAAAUGCGAUAAGUAGUGUGAAUUGCAGAAUUCAGUGAAUCAUCGAAUCUUUGAACGCACAUUGCGGCCAUAGGUAUUCCUUUGGCCAUGCCUGUUCGAGCGUCAUUUACACCCUCAAGCCUAGCUUGGUGUUGGGCGUCUGUCCCGCCGUUCUCGCGCGCGGACUCGCCUCAAAGUCAUUGGCGGCGGUCGUGCCGGCCCCCUCGCGCAGCACAUUUGCGCUUCUCGGAGGCCCGGCGGAUCCGCGCUCCAGCAAGACCUUUCACGACUUGACCUCGGAUCAGGUAGGGAUACCCGCUGAACUUAAGCAUAUCAAUAAGCGAGGA
Molecule: unclassified non-coding RNA, 341 nt
Filed under: soil metagenome
Description: partial contains 5.8S ribosomal RNA, internal transcribed spacer 2, and large subunit ribosomal RNA
Rfam family: 5.8S ribosomal RNA (bases 1-120)
Source: RNAcentral